This 393-nucleotide long non-coding RNA is filed under the name Physcomitrium patens. Its description in RNAcentral is "long non-coding RNA (PPAT_LNC002357)". Lineage: Eukaryota; Viridiplantae; Streptophyta; Bryopsida; Funariales; Funariaceae. The record is from RNAcentral.
CACAAUUCUUCUUCUCACAUAAUAAAACUUAUUGGAAAGCUAACAAUGAGUUCUAGCUUCUUCCAAAUUCUUAUAAUAAAAAAAAGAAAAUCUAACAAAUGGCAUAGAAAGAUCCAAACUAGUCUUGAAUUUUGCCGCCCAAAAAUUCCAACAAACUCAUUCUAACAAAUUCAUGUAAAUCUCUCUUAUCACAAUUUUUUUCUUAUAUAAAAUAGCUUUUUGAAAAGUUAAUAAUAAAAUCUAACUUCUUUUAAAAUUCAAAAUAAGAAAAAAAAAAAUAUCACAAAUGAUAUAGAAAUCCCUAACUAAACUUGAAUCUCACUACCUAAAAACUCCAACAACUCCCUUUUUACAAAUUCGUAUGGUUUCCCUUCUUCAUAGCUCUAUUUCUUA